GUACGGACCCUACUUCGAGGACACCCAAGAGCUGUGGCACGGAAAGGAAGCCCUCCAAGCCAAAGCAAAUAUAUUUAUAAAUACUCAGUGCAUUACCCAGCUGCCCAGGUGUAAGCAUCUAAGAUGGAUAUGAGUGCUGCUGCUGCUGCUAAGUCGCUUCAGUCGUGUCCGCCUCUGUGCGACCCCAUAGACGGAAGCCCACCAGGCUCCCCUGUCCCUGGGAUUCUCCAGGCAAGAGUACUGGAGUGGGUUGCCAUUUCCUUCUCCAGUGCAUGAAAGCGAAAAGUGAAAGUGAAGUUGCUCAGUCCUGCCCGACUUUUAGCGACCCCAUGGACUGCAGCCUACCAGGCUCCUCCGUCCAUGGGAUUUUCCAGGCAAGAGUACUGGAGUGGGGUGCCAUUGCCUUCUCCGUGGAUAUGAGUAAGAUAAUUUCGUCAUCCUCAGUUGCAAAGUCAUGUCCAUCUCUUUGCAACCCCAUGGACUGUAGUCCACUAGGCUUCUCUGUUCAUGGGCUUUUCCCGGCAAGAAUACUGGAGUGGGUGGCCAUUUCCUUCUCCACAGGAUCUUCCAACCCAGGAAUCGAGCCUGCGUCUCUUAUGUUUCUUGCAUUGGCAGGUGGAUUCUUUUACCACUGAGUCAUCUGGGAAGCCCAGGAGCCCACAACUACUACUGCCCACCCCACAUCCCAGCGUUUCCCACCAGAAUAAGAUUCCCUUCAGAUGAUAGUACCCGAUGUUUGCAUCCCUGCAGUUUUGUCUUAAGCCUGAAAUGCCGCAGAAUGCACUUCACAAACUGCAUGUUUUAAAAACACUCCCCUGGUGCCUGUGUGAUUUUGAAGUGCUGCAGAAGGCGCACUAAAGGCUUAUUAAGGCUUAUUA
Molecule: long non-coding RNA, 878 nt
Organism: Bos taurus (domestic cattle)
Lineage: Eukaryota; Metazoa; Chordata; Mammalia; Artiodactyla; Bovidae
Source: Ensembl